AAUAGAUACCCUGGUAGUCCACGCCGUAAACGAUGUCGACUUGGAGGUUGUUCCCUUGAGGAGUGGCUUCCGGAGCUAACGCGUUAAGUCGACCGCCUGGGGAGUACGGCCGCAAGGUUAAAACUCAAAUGAAUUGACGGGGGCCCGCACAAGCGGUGGAGCAUGUGGUUUAAUUCGAUGCAACGCGAAGAACCUUACCUACUCUUGACAUCCAGAGAACUUAGCAGAGAUGCUUUGGUGCCUUCGGGAACUCUGAGACAGGUGCUGCAUGGCUGUCGUCAGCUCGUGUUGUGAAAUGUUGGGUUAAGUCCCGCAACGAGCGCAACCCUUAUCCUUUGUUGCCAGCGGUUAGGCCGGGAACUCAAAGGAGACUGCCAGUGAUAAACUGGAGGAAGGUGGGGAUGACGUCAAGUCAUCAUGGCCCUUACGAGUAGGGCUACACACGUGCUACAAUGGCGCAUACAAAGAGAAGCGACCUCGCGAGAGCAAGCGGACCUCAUAAAGUGCGUCGUAGUCCGGAUUGGAGU
RNAcentral lists this ribosomal RNA (527 nucleotides) under uncultured bacterium. RNAcentral's name for it is "bacterial SSU rRNA". It matches the Rfam family "Bacterial small subunit ribosomal RNA", at positions 777 to 1304 of the family's 1533-position model. The record is from RNAcentral.